GUGUCUUUCUUACUUCGACCUGUGAAAAUAUAUACUCUGGAGUUUACACAUCUUGUAUGCAUAUACUAUUAUAGUAUCAUAAAAUGAAAAAUUAUGUAUAUCCAAUUUUAAUUGAUCUCAAUUGAUUCUUCGUUACUGCUCAGAGGAGAAGUAAUAGGUAGGGAUGACAGGAUUUGAACCCGUGACAUUUUGUACCCAAAACAAACGCGCUACCAAGCUGCGCUACAUCCCUUUCAAUUGGUCUACAGUGUCAUUGUAGAGAAUACCUGUCUUGUUUUCCACAUCCUAGCAUUGAAUAGACUGGGUAUUCACCUUAUCAAUAUCUCAAAAUGAUGGGUUCUAUUUGGCGCUUAAAUUAAAUGGGCACCCAAAUCGGACCGAAUCAGUUCCGAUACGUAGACCAAAUGAUACAAUGCAAGCAAAAGUUCCUAGAUUCAUGGAGAUAUAGAACAGCAUAUAAGUUAUCAUGCUUGCAUAUCCACCAUUUAAGUCUCCAACAAUUAUUCCAAAUUGAGGCUUUUUUACAGUGAAAACCUCAAAAGGGGGAUUUUGGGGAAUAAGUGUUUGUGUAUUUUUUUUUUUCUUCCUAUGGAGAAGGAAGAGUGAAGAAUUUGUGAAAUGGCAAACCGUUAUUGGUCUGUUUCUAUUGAGCGGCGUUUCAGCUAUGUGGUUCUCAUCCCAUUUAUGCAGCAUUGAGUUUGAAUGCCGAGAAAUAUCUCUUUGAUCGGUGUGGGGAAAAUAGGAAAGGGGUUAGAUGGCCCCUAAUUGGUCAUUGCUCCUCUUUCUACUCUCUCAAACUGGGCAAAUGAAAUAGCAAGGUUUGUGCCUUCAAUAAUUGCAAUCAUCUACCAUGGCAAUAGGAAAGAAAGAGAUCAAAUACGAAUGAAGUAUAUGCCAGGAAAAAUUAGCCCCAAAUUUCCUAUAAUUCCGACUUCUUAUGAGGUUGCAUUAAAUGAUGCUAGAAAAUAUCUAAGGCAUUACAAUUGGAAAUAUCUUGUAGUUGAUGGUGGGGCCACGGAUGUAAAUUCAUGAUGUGCACCUUGCAACACUCUGUUUUAUUUUUCUUUGGGCUGCCAGGAUGUUCAAACAUCAUUUGAAAACCUUUUUUUUUUCACUUUGGCCACCUCUAAGUGUGGUCACUUUGGCACAUGGCCCUAGUAAGUUUUUGACUUUUUAUUUAUUUUCUUAUGAUUUUAACAGUUUUCCUUACUCCAAUUUUCCAAAAUUCAUUUCAUGAUUCCACUUUUCAAAUAAUUUUUAAAGCUUUCAUUUUAGAUUAGUCUUCCGGAAUUCCCAUUUCCAUAUUUAUUUAUUUAAUCAUUAUUCUUUUUUUAUUAUUAUUAUUUUAUUUAUUCACUUUUAAAAUUCUAUCUUUAAGUAAUUCUUAAAAUUCCGAUUUCCGAAUUUAAUUUCCAAUCAUUAAAAUUCAAUUCUUCAAAAGUCUGACUUCCAAAUUUAAUUUUCAAUCUAAAAAAUUUCACUAUUCACGUUCAUUCGUUUAAAUAUUAUUUUUGUUAUUAUUAUUAUUAUUCCAUAUUUAUUUAUUUAUUUUUUACAAAAGUUCCAAUCAUUAAAGUUCAAUUCUUCAAAAAUUUGACUUCCAAAUUUAACUUUCAAUCUCAAAAAUUCCACCAUUCACGUUCAUUCGUUUAAAUAUUAUUUUUUUUAUUAUUAUUAUUAUUCCAUAUUUAUUCAUUUAUUUAUUUUAAAAAUUCCAAUCAUUAAAGUUCAAUUCUUCAAAAAUCUGACUUCCAAAUUUAAUUUUCAAUCUAAAAAAUUCCACUAUUCACGUUCAUUUGUUUAAAUAUUAUUUUCGUUAUUAUUAUUAUUCCAUGUUUAUUCAUUUAUUUCUUUUAAAAAUUCCAAUCUUUAAAAUUCAAUUCUUCAAAAAUCCGACUUCCAAAUUUAACUUUCAAUCUCAAAAAUUUCACUAUUCACGUUCAUUCGUUUAAAUAUUAUAUUCGUUAUUAUUAUUAUUAUUCCAUAUUUAUUUAUUUAUUUAUUUAUUUAUUUAUUUUAAAAAUUCCAAUCAUUAAAGUUCAAUUCUUCAAAAAUCCGACUUCCAAAUUCAAUUUUCAAUCUCAAAAAUUCCACUAUUCACGUUCAUUCAUUUAAAUAUUAUUUUUGUUAUUAUUAUCAUUAUUUAAUUUAUUUAUUUGUUUAUUUCCUUUAAAAAUUCUAAUCAUUAAAGUUCAAUUUUUCAAAAUUCCGUUUUCCAAAUUUCAUUUUCAAUCUUAAAAAUUUUACUAUUCAUGUUCAUUCGUUUAAGUAUUAUUUUUUAUAUUAUUCUUAUUAUUCCGUUCACUUACUUAUUUAUUUCUUUUUAAAAAAAAAAAUAUCCGUCUUUAAACAAUUCUUAAAAAAUCUGACUUCCAAAUCUAAUUUCCAAUCUCAAAAAUUCAACUAUUCACAUUCAUUUGUUUAAUGAUUAUUUUCGUUAUUAUUAUUAUUUCAUUCAUUUACUUAUUCACUUAUUCACUUAUUCAUAUAUUUAAAAUCGCAUCUCUAAAUAAUCCUUCGAAUUUCCAAUCUCUAAAUUCAAUUUCCAAUUUCUAAAAUUCUAACUUUCGCAAUUAUUUAUCCAAUCAUUAUUAUUUUCGUUAUUCUAUUCAUUUAUUUAUUCAUUUGUUCGUUUAUUUAAAAUUUCAUCUCUAAAUAAUUCUUUAAAUUUCCAAUCCCUAAGUUCAAUUUCCAAUUUCCAAAAUUCUAACUUUCACAAUUAUUUAUCCAAUCAUUAUUAUUUCGUCAUUAUUAUUAUUUCAUUCAUUGAUUUAUUCACUUAUUCAUUUAUUUAAAAUUCCGUCUUUAAAUAAUUCUUCAAAAUUCCAAUUUCCAAAUUUAGUUCUCUGAAAUUCCAAUUUUCUUAUCACCGAACUUAAUUUUCAGUUUCCAAUAUUUCAAUUCUCGCAUUUAUUCGGUUACUCAUUUAUUAUUAUCAUUAUCAUUUUAUUCAUUCAUUUCUAAAAAUUCCAUCUUCGAAUGAUUUCCAAGAUUUCCAAUUUUUAUAAUUCAAUCUUCAUAGUUUCUACUUCUCAAAUAAUUUUCAAUUCUAAUUUCUUUCAAAAUUUAAUUUCCAAAGUCCCAAUUUUUGUAAUUUAAUUUUUUUAAAAUCCCAAACUCUCAAAUAAUUUUCAAAAUUCCAAUUUCUUUCAAAUUUAAUUUCUAAAUUUCUCAUUCUUACAUUUAAUUUCUAAAAAUCCUAUUUUCAAAUAAAUUUCAAAAAUCUAGUUUUCCCUCGAAUAGUUUUAAUUUCUAUUUGGUGAUGCAUGUGAUAUUUUUUGUGCUCUUUAUUGUACAUUGACCCCAUUUUUAUGAUAGCGCAUUGCUUGUUCGUGGCCCAGGUACGCAUCCAUUCCCAUUCUAGUCAUUCUCUAUGCAUGUUUUGAUUCCCAUAUGUGCAUGAUCGAUUUGAGUAUCCAUUGAUUUUCCUAUUGAUUGUUACGUCAGCUUCAUUUUAUUAGUAGAGACCCGACUUUAAAGACUUAGAGGGGUGCUACGGUCUUUACCGUACCUUCUUGAUAAGUAACCUAACCCUUGAGCCCAAUCCGGUUUUUCACAGACCAUAUUUUCCAAAAUAAGGAGUCACACUUAGAGUUUUCUUUUUUAUUUUGUUUAUACCCUUUUAAAAAUAAAACAAAAAUAAGUGGCGGCUCCAAGUCAUUUUUUUUAAUAAAUAAAAUCAUUUUCAAAUAAAAAUCGAGUUCGUCAUCGAGUGAAAAAUGCAUGAGCCGAAAUGCGGGGUCCACAAAAUGGCGACUCCACUGGGGAACGUUUAGAGGGUCAAGCUUGAACUUAAGAUGAAGUAAAUGUGGCAUUUGAUGAGUCGAUUAGUGGGCACCUAUCUCUUGAUUACAUAUUGAGAGUUCCCGAUACCAUUGGAUGCAUGCUUGGUUGUUUGUUUUCAUUUGGGACAUUGACAUGUUGAUUGUGUUGGUUGAUUAUCUUGGUUGGGGACUUUAAUAUAGUGAUUUUCUCUAUGCUUCAUUGGUAUAUUUGUUUGAUAUAUUUGACAUGCUGAUUGUGAUGAUUGAUUUGUCUUGAUUGAGGAUUCCGAGAUAGCUAUUUCUUCAGUACUUCAUUGUUAUAUUUGCUUGAGAUAUUGACAUUCUAAUUACAUUGAUUGCUUAUCUUAUUUUGCUUGGCAUAGUAACUCUGAUUUUGACAUGUUUAUUCUCAUCUCUUCCCAUAUAUAGACUCACCAUUGCAUAUCGCUUGACUUGCCAUAUUGUUUCUUUGUAUUGUAUAUUCUCUUGAUUGUCUUCGAGCAUGAUAUCUGCAUCAUUUCUCAUCUAAUUUUCAUAGUUUGUAUGUGGAUAUGAGCUAUAUAUUCUGUACUCUACUUGACUGUAUGUCACAUGACUGCCCUUCUUAUGCGUGAUUGUAUGUCGUUUGUCCGUGUGGGCCGCACAUCUAUCCCCUUACCUCCAACUCUCUUGGUUUUGGUCAUUCCCUUCAUUCUAGUUUUCACUUUUGCAAGUGUGAGGUCUUUUGUGUGUUUGUUUCUUUAACCGAGAUAGCGAUUAGGAGUAGGGUCUAGUGACGGGCUAUACCGAUGUUUGGGAGCAUCCUGUAAUUGAUCGACACUUUGAUGUCAAUUAGAGUUCGAUUGUUGAAAACUUGUAUAGCCCAGAGCUAGGUUUCAUGGAUAUUUGUACAGCUAGUAUGUUUCAUAUUCUGUAUUAGCUUCAUAGGGUUAUCGGAUGCACCCACACCGUUUAUUGUGCACUCUAAUUGACCACUGAGCGUUGAGAGUUCGAGAGGUUUCACCAUAGGAAACCCCCAUGGGAUGCCGAGAUAGUGUAUGUGUGGAGAUGAUGACCACCUUGCAUGGAAGCGCCCCGUUUCUUCAGAGGCGUGCAAAGGGUUGCAUACCACGGGAGGGUAUGAUCACUUCUGCUAGGGAUCCUUUAAAGUCCACAAAAUUUCUUUUUAGAGUCACCUUGACAUUGUAGGUUAAGCCUUAGAUCCUUCGAUCAAGACUUUCUUCCCUACACAUGGGUGCAUCUGAGGGCCUUUAGAGUCUCUUUAGUUACAGUUUGGAUCCCAAACUCCAUCUUUUGGUCUCCAGUUGAGAGUGCUUAGAUAUUAGUGCGAGUUUGAGUAUUAAUUGGACCACCUCUUGUUGUAUGAUUUUGGUUUCUUCCUGUCACUCAUCGAGUUUGCCACACUUUCUUCUUAGGGGUUUUAGAUAGAUUUCCUUUCUUGAGUUAGCAUUAUUUCCAUUUGUUGUCACUUUCUACUUGACGUUUUGGGAUAUGCUCAUUGAUUAUGCUCACUUUUUCACAUUCUCCACAUGUCAUGCGCUCAAUACUUCAUUCUUUGGUUGAUUUGCCUAUUUCAAUUUUCAACCCAAUAUUUUCAUUACAGAGAGGUGAAAGGCAUGUUUUCACAUUCACACCAGUUUUGAGAGGUUCGCCUUUGUCACCUUAUCAUUUUUCUUUAUGGAGCUCGGGUUGAAAGUGAAUCAAGGAUAUUUUGUUAUAGAUGGAAUAUCGAUCUAAUGACAGUGUUGUUUUUUCACGCCUCAUUCAUUUUCUGGAUUACUGAUAAAGAUUAUUUACUCACAUUUGUAGCCAUCUCACAAUGGACACCUCUAUGACUUUAGAGUUUUUGUCAUUUAUCCAGUUUUAGAUUGCUACCACAGGACCAUAUAUCAUAUGAUGUGUUGUACUUUUGAUUUGAGACAUCUCUUCACUUGCACCUUGAGGUCUUAAGGUUUGACCUAUCAUGGAGGACAUUGAGCCUAUUAACCUAGGAUCGGAGAUUUGACUUAGGAAGUUUCAGACUAUGACCCAUCUUCUUAUGAUCAGAGCAGUGUCUUACCCACUCUCACACCUUGACUUUGUUUUGACCUACAUCCAUCCAUUGUGAGCGUUACACAGCGUCACCCUUGAGACCAUUACAUGACCUUUCCAUCCCUAAUUGUUCUAGCUUUGUAUAUUAUUUCUUUGAUCCAACCAGGUAGAGUGUGAGGAGUUUGAGCCUAGGGUUGAUCUCGCGUGGCGAGGGAUGGCUUACGAUUUUUGGGUGGCUUACGACAUGAGGAUUGGUCGAUUACUUGAUGGACUGUCACUUAUUCUGCCAUGAGUAUAGAGAUUGAUAUUGUAUGAUGAGAGUUAGCUUGUGAUGAGCAGUUGUGCUUGAUGAGAUCGUCAUUUACUUUGCUUUGAGAGGAUUACCUUUGAGAUUAUUAUGGAGCAUUUGCAGUAUGGUUUGGCACAUGAUUCUAGAGGGUUGAUGUGGUUAUGUCAGAUGGAUAUUGAUCUUUAGUAUAGAUCAUUUAAGGGUUUGAGAGCACAAUGUUUGAGACUAUGGUUGCAAGAUGUGUGGCCUGUAUUUCGGUUAGCCAUGUACCCUUUCACCCUUUUGAUAUAUAUAGUCUGUUGCUAGCCCAUUGAGCCUCGCACGUGCAUUAUAACCUUUCUUUCUUAUCGCCUUGCUCACAUUUUUCACACCGGGAUAGGGGCCUUUUAGUAUAUGCAUUCAUUGUUUGGGAGUUCCAUGAGCCUUAGACCUAAGGGUGCAUUCUUCUCAUUAUCUCUUCUCAUCAUUGCAUCACUGCAUUCCAUUGUAUCUCAUUGUUUGUGUUCUUCGUCUCUUCUUCUUUAUUUUAUCUACUACUUGUUUUGCUUCAUAUUCUUUUCACCCUGAGAUGGUGUCUAUCCAUUAUCGACAUCAUCCUUGGGGUUCAUUUGUUCAUGUUCAGGGUAUGUACAUCUGUAUGUUAAAAAAAUGAAGUGAAAAAAAAAAUGAAAUGAAAAAAAAAACGCAUGUGUGUAUUAUUUUUUAUCAUUGAGUGUGUAUAUCAAUAUUCUAGGGUCACUUGAUUGAGUAUGUUUGUUGAUGGGAGUUCGUAUGUAAGCUUUCCGAGACCCUUCAUGCUUUGUAUUCAUCUUAUUGUAUAUUUUGAGAGCGAGAUGAGUGACCUUCUCUUAAGAGUUCUAGGUCAUUGUCCCUUCCAUCAUUACGUUCAUUGUUGAUGUGACUUCACUCCAUGUCUGAUUUGAGUUGAUCACUACUCCUCUUUAUGUUAUUUGUUUCAUCAUUAUCCUCGUUUUCGCUUCUGAUUCAUCAUUUUCACUUCACGUCUUAUUCUUUUCUUACAGCAACCCAUCUAGGGUUUGAUACUCUCUUCGCGUCAUCAUUACACAUAUCACUAUCAAUUCAUUUUGCUUCAUUGGUCUCCUCAUCGACAUCUUAUUCACGUUAGGCAUCCUCAUGUCCAUGGCUCACGGGAUUUACUAUACAUGGUGCAUUUCAUAUAUGAGGGCAUGGGUUUCUGAUCAUUGGGUAUUUGAGCCCUGUUUCCUUUCAUUUCUUUCACCUUAUUACCUUAGCCUACAUUACGUCCUAGGUCUUAAGAGCACCCUGAGGCCAUGAUAUCAUGCAUCGUGUUUUGAUAGCUCUCAUGUGGGCGAUACUUGGAAUUGGUUGGAGAGCAUUUUGAUUAUGAUAGGCCAUGAGUUGUGGUAUGACCCUAUACUGGGGCAUAGCCACCUCAGAGAGUUUUUUUUUUAUCGGGUAUGCAACCAUUCUGUUUGAUACAUCGCAUUGGGGCACACCUUUCUUGGUUGAGGUUUGAUUUUUUAGAUGGCCAUUAUGCCAGGGCAUACUUCUCUCAGUCGAUGAUGGAUUUUUGAGUCAUGGCCACCCUUCAGAGGAGAUCAAACAUCAUUUUUCACAUUGGAGCAUGAGGCAUGAUUGGUAUAUUUCAUCUGGUGUACUUUGCAUAGGGGCAUAUUUCUUAGUCGAUGAUGGUUUUUGAGGCAUAGCUGUUCCUUGGGGGUGAUUAGAUUCCUUUCACAUUGGGGUAUGAGAUAUGAUUGGGUGCUUUGAAUAGAUGUGUUUAUAGGAGCGUAACCUUCUCAUCGUUGUUGACAAAUGUUUGAGAUGAUUGGAUCAAGAUACUGACACUUAUGAGAGCAUGCAGCGGAGUUUAGUCAUUUUAGAGAUUGCAUUAUACUGGGGCAUAAUCCUUUCAUUGGUGAUUGAUCUUAGAGAUAUCAACUUACAUUUGGGCAUGAUCAUGUCAGAGCGCAUUUUGUUGAGGCAUGUCACUUUGAUUGAUCUUUUUCAUAUUGGGACAUGCUCUUUCUUUAGAUGAGGUCGGAUACUCUCUUUAUACCACCACGAUGACUUUGAGGAGUGGAGAUUCAUUUUGAUUAGAUGAUGUAUGAUUGGUUGUACUCCUCUCAUCGAUGUUUUAUUACAUUGGGGCAUUGCCCACCCAUCGACGAUGGAUUUUGUGAGAUGACGGUUUAUGCCAAACACAUGUUAUUCGGAUAUUAUCUUGCAUUGAGGGCUUACCCAUUUUGAGAGAAUGCAUUCAUACUGGGGCAUAGCCACCUUGCUGAUUUUGACAUUGAGACUCCACCUCCUAUUUAUGAUAGCUAGUUUUGAUGGAUCGUAGAGUUGUUGACACUUUGGGUUCAGACUUCUUAACAUACUUGGUUCGACUUGGAUACCCACUUUCCUUUGUUACACACUCAUACAUCUUACAUCCAGCACCAUUAUACCUGCAUCCAUCUUGUCAGAGUCUCACAUCUUUUGAGUUUCAUCUAGGGCAUACCCCAUUUCCAGAGAUAGUUGUGUCCUCAUUUUUUAGUGAGUUGAUCAUCCUGAUUUUAGUCACCCUUCAGUGGUUUGACUUAGAGUCAUAGACUACAAUCUCCCAUUUUGGGCGUACAAUGCCCCUCUUCAUGGAGUCACAUGACUCUCAUCACUCACGAGAUCAUGUCGAGUUGAUAGCCAAUUGUUAUCUUAUCAUGAUCCCCUAGUGGAGUCUUUCUUAGGCCAUUUAGUCAGACUCACACUUUUUAGCAUUUAGAUAUCAUCAUGCUUUUUCUUCUGGGAGACGUUUAUUUGAUCUACAAAUUCGAUUAAGUUGUGGACGUGGGUGGUUAGGAUUACACACUUGGUGAUGGAUGAUUUGAUGACAUCUAGUUUUCUGAUCUACCAUGCAUUUGAUGCCAUACUGGGGCACAUUCUGUUUCGGAUGAGAUUUAUGGAUUUUCAUGGAAGUUGCAUGCUUAUCUCCACUUUUGAGUUAUGGACGUGGAUGACCGGGAUUGCAUAGUUGAUGAUUUGGUGUCACCUGACUUUUGGAUCUACCACACAUUUGAUGCCAUACUGGGGCAUAUUCCAUUACAGUUGAGAUUCGUAGAUUUUCAUGGAGUUGCGCGAUCAUCAUCACUUACUGGUCGCACACUGAGAUGCUGACAUGUUCGUUACCUUAUCAUGAUACCUCGGUGGACCCUCUUUGGAUCCAUUUAGUCGGACCCUCAUUUUUUGACAUUUGGUUUCCGGCAUGAUACUUAUUCCGAGAGACAUUCCCUAGAUAUAUGGAUUUGAUUUAUAUCACAGAGAUCACAUGUUCGAUGAUAGAUAGUCUCAUGUCAUCUGAUUUCCGAUUCGUCAUACAUCUGAUGCCAUACUAGGGCAUAUUUCCAUUUUGGGUGAGGUUUACAGAUCUUCAUGGGGUUGUAUGAUCACCCCCACUUACGGGAUGCGCACCGAGGCGAUGACGUGCUCAUUAUUUUUACGAGGAUUUCUCGGUGGAGCCUCUCGGGAGUCAUCCAGUUAAGCCCGCACUUCUUGGCACUUAGAUUUCAUCAUGCUUCUCCAUCCGAGAAAUACCUCUUGGAUUUGUGGGUUUGAUUCUGUUAUGGACAUGGAUGACUAGGACCGUGCAUUUGAUGACAGAUGAUUUGAUGUCAUCUGAUUUUUCGACCCGUCACACAUUUGAUGCCAUACUGGGGCAUAUUUCCCUUUCGAUUGAGAUUUGUACAUCCCCACCGAUUCGCAUGAUCAUCCCUAGUUAUGAGAUACGCGCUAGGUUGAUGAUUCGAUUUCAUUUUGUCAUGACACUCUGGGGAGCCUUUCUUGAGUCAUUCAGUCAGGCUCAUACUUUUUGAUAUUGUUGUGAUUCUUAGACAGAGUUAUCUCAGACGCAUGGAUUCCCACAUCACCAUUUCAGUGGAGUACAUGUUAGAUCUCUUGCGCAUCCCCAUUGAGUUAUUUGCGAGUCAUCAGGGCAGACCUGGUACAUCUGAUGCCAUACUAGGGCAUAUUUCCCUCAUUCAGCUGUAGAGAUGAUGGUUUUCUCAUAGAUCUGAUGCAGCCGCCUUCAUCGCUCCACCGAGAAAUAUUUUAUUUGCUUUAUUGGCCACUAUUCCCGUGAUUUUCGUCGAGAUAAGCCUUCAGUAGAGCACAACAUUCAGGUUUUGACUGUCUCGCUAUCCAUGAUUCUUUAGUAGAUUGUUGUGAUGAGAUCAUGGUGGUUACCCCAACAAACUAUUCUCUUGAGACUCCCUAGUGGAUCAUUCGUUUCAGAUGACGAUGGACUCCUACAGUAGAGUAUUUCGAGUUAGAGUCAUCUAACUCGUCAAGCAUCGCGGUCCAAUCAGAUGGGUUGUGAGACUAUGUUCACAGUCGAUUUAAUCAUUCUAACUCGCUAGUAGAGCAUAUUUCGAGACUCAUGGAGUCUUUUUCAGACCUUUCUAGUGGAUUGAGAGUUAUGACGACAUGCUACACUGGGGCAUAUUCCCCCUUCAUCAUUUCCUUGCAAUUCUGGCGUUCAGAGCCACCAUACAUGCUCGGUUACGACAUUCAGAGUCGCCCUUUUUUAGCUUGGCAUUCAAAGCCACCAUGUCUUCUCGUUUAUGACCUUCAGAGUCGUAUCUCUCGGCUUGACUUUCAUAGCUACUGUUUCAGUUUGGUGCUUAGAGCCACCAUGUCCUCUCAACCAUGACGUUCAGAGCCUUUCUCAGAUUGGCAUUCCUAGUUAUCAGUUUAGUUUGGUGUUCAGAGCCGUUGUUUCUGCUUGGGAUUCAUAACUAUUAUCUUCGGUUUGGUGUUCAGAGCCACUUUCACAUUUCGACGUUCAUAGCUGUUGUUUUAGUUUGGCAUUCAGAGCCAUGGUUUAGGUUGACAUUUAGAGUUGUCAUCGUCUUUCCAUUCGGUGUUCUGAGCCACAUUUUUUGUUUCGGCGUUCAGAGUCAUUCUUCAUUUUCAUUUUGGCGUUCAGAGCCAUUGUUCAUUUUUCUUUUGCCAUUCAAAGCCACAUUUUCGUUUCGGUGUUCAGAGCGAUCGUUCAUCUUCCGUUUGGCAUUCAGAGUCAUUGUUCGUUUUCCGUUUGGCGUUCAAAGCCGUAGUUCAUCCUCAGUUUGGUGUUUAGAGUCGUUGAUCAUUUUUGUUAGGCGUUCAGAUUCAUGUCGUCAUCUUGGUGUUCAGAGCCGCAUUGUCAUCUUGGCAUUUAGAGUCGUAUCUUCAGUUUGGCAUUUAGAGUCGUAUCUUCAGUUUGGCAUUCAGAGUUGUUGUUUAUCUUUAGUUCGAUAUCUAGAGCCAUUUUCAGAUUGGUGUUCAGAGUCGUUAUUCCCUUUAGUUCGAUAUUCAGAGCUACACCUUCAAUUCAAUGUCUAGAGUCACAUUUUUUUCGUUUGGUGUUAAGAGUUGUUGUUCACUUCAUUUUGGCAUUCAGAGCCACAUCUUCAUUUUGGUGUUCAGAGUCGCAUUUUUAGUUUGGUGUUCAGAGUCGUUGUUCAUCUUCAUUUUGGCGUUUAGAGCCGCAUUCUCAUCUUGGGAUUCAGACCCACAUCUUCUUUCGGUUUGGCGUUCAGAGCCGCAUUUCCAUUUCGAUGUUUAGAGCUACCAUCAUUCUCAGUUUCGGCAUUCAGAGCCACUGUCUCUUCUCAAUUCGCCGUUCAGAGCCAGAUCUCCAGUUUCAGCGUUUAGAGCCACUAUCCCUUCUUAUUUUGGCAUUCAGAGCCACCAUUUCUGCCCAAUUUCAGCGUUUAGAGCCACCAUCCCUUCUUAUUUUGGCGUUCAAAGCCACCAUUUCUACCCAGUUUGGCGUUCAGAGUCACCAUCCCUUCUCAGUUUGGCUUUCAGAGCCACCGUCUCUUUUCAAUUUGGCGUUCAGAGUCACAUCUUCAUUUGGCACUCAGAGCCAUUACUUGUCUUCUAGUUUGGUGCUCAGAGCCACAUCAUUCAUUUCAGCAUUCAGAGUCACAUCUUUAGUUUGAUGUACAAAGUCGAUGUCUUCUAGUUUGGCGUUCGGAGCCACAUUCUCAGUUUGACACUCUAAGUCCUCAUGUCUAUCUUUCAUUCAAUCCAUCACCACUUCCCUCUAUUCUGGCAUUCAAAGCCAUUAGGCACACUCUUUCGGGCCUUUUUGAGUCAUUUCUUUUUUUUAAUUUUGGUGUGCAGAGCCGUUUUUUAUACCCAUUCAUGCAUCUUGAGUAAUUUCUUUUCUUAGUUUUGGCAUUUAGAGCCAUUGUUUUGUUUAGCAUUCGACGCCACCAUCUUUCUUCAGUUUGGUGUUCAGAGCCAUUGUACAUAUCCGUUCAGGCACCUUGAGUCACCAUCUUUCUGUGUUUUUGAUGUUUAGAUUUCCCCUCAACUGUCCAUGGCAUUCAUAUUCACUGGCAUUACACAUCUUGCCUUCAUAGGUUUGCAUUUAUCCUUAUUUUUCUCACCUUGUUACCCUGUGCUUAUCGUUCAUUCGUCAUUGCUUUUCUAGAUUUCCCUUUUCACUGCCCAUGACAAAGUCCUUUGAGUUCACGACACAUACUUCAGUCAUGUUGUUGGGCACCCUGCACUUAGCAUUCUCAUGUGGUUCACAUAUGAUAGUCUCAUUUAGGCACAUUCGUUCUUACACUCCAAAGUGGUUCGACCAUUACUCAUCUGUGAUAUGGUUUUCCAAGUCACUUUUGGAGACGUCUUAGAGGGAGUCUAGAUCCUUAGUGUGGCUUCAGAGGCACUUUGAGAUAUCAUUUUCUUUUAGGAUUAGAGCAUUUGUGUUCAUUCCUUGGUUUGGGCGAGUUCGUGUUCUACUUGUGCACCUUUAGGGGUCUUUCUUUUUCUUUGGUAGAGUUUACUCCAUUCCACUCACUAUUCACACUUUCUUUUCACUCUAGUGUUCAUAUUUCUUACGCUCGUGAACUCUACCGAAGAGGGGCAUAUUUGUAGAACCCUUUUGCGGACGACCCGGGAAUUGAAAUAUUUUCAUUUUUGGAAGUGAGGGGACCUCUUUCUAGAGGGGGCGAGCCACAUGGGACAUGUGGCAAAGACGACAUGGUGGUAGCAGGGAGCAGGUGAAGACUUGUGGGAAAAGAAAAACAGAGGGAAGUGUCUUCAUGUUUUUAGGGGGGUGAGCUAGCGGUUGUGGAGGUGGGGGUGUCUGGAAACAGAGAGAAGAAAGAAGAAAGGAUAUGAGGUUUUUCUGGCAUUUAAGAGGAUUCCGAAAAUUUUUUGGGGCUUGGCUGGAGGAGUAAUCUUGCCUGGAGGAAAAUUUGAGGAGCUUGAGAAGAAACUAGUGAGGGUGGAUAGCUUAGGGAUAGAGGAUUUCCUGGAUGGAACAUAAAAUAAAGCUCAGAGUCAGGCGAGCUUUCCUUUGAAAAGUGGCCCUUGAGGUGAGAUCAGUUUUUACUGAAUUUGACGACUUUUACAGUGUAAUUCAUCCCGAUAUUUUAUUUCGAUUCUCUGCAUCGAUUGCCUUGCCGUGGAAUUUUACAUUCGUAGCCCCUUUUGUGCACUCAAUUUCCUAUAUUUUAUUCCCUCUGAUGCUUUCUUUAUAUGUUUCUUCAACUGUAUGCGUUUUUGCCUGAAGAUUUGAUUGUGCUAGUGAAAUUUGUUGCUCAUCUGUGUCUCUAAAGUGUUGGGUACCUUAAUUGAGGCAUUUUUACAGUGAAAACCUCAAAAGGGAGAUUUUGGGGAAUAAGCGUUUGUGUAUUUUUUUUUUUUUUCUUCCUAUGGAGAAGAAAGAGUGAAGAAUUUGUGAAAUGGCAAACCGUUAUUGGUCUGUUUCUAUUGAGCGGCAUUUCGGCUAUGUGGUUCUCAUCCCAUUUAUGCAGCAUUGAGUUUGAAUGCCCAGAAAGAUCUCUUUGAUCAGUGUGGGGAAAAUAGGAAAAGGGUUAGAUGGCCCUUAAUUGGUCAUUACUCCUCUUUCUACUCUCUCAAACUGGGCAAAUGAAAUAGCAAGGUUUGUGCCCUCAAUAAUUGCAAUCAUCUAAGAUGGCAAUAGGAAAGAAAGAGAUCAAAUACGAAUGACGUAUAUGCCAGGAAAAAUCAGCCCCAAAUUUCCUAUAAUUCUGACUUCUUAUGAGGUUGCAUUAAAUGAUGCUAGAAAGUAUCUAAGGAAAUAUCUUGUAGUUGAUGGUGGGGCCACAGAUGUAAAUUCAUGAUGUGCACCUUGCAACACUUUGUUUUAUUUUUCUUUGGGCUACCAGGAUGUUCAAACAUCAUUUGAAAACCUUAAGUGUGGUCACUUUGGCACAUGGCCCCGGUAAGUUUUUGACUUUUUAUUUAUUUUCUUAUGAUUUUAACAGUUUUCCUUACUCCAAUUUUCCAAAAUUCCUUUCAUGAUUCCACUUCUCAAAUAAUUUUUAAAGCUUUCAUUUUAGAAUAGUCUUCUAGAAUUCCCAUUUUCAUAUUUAUUUAUUUAAUCAUUAUUCUUUUUUUAUUAUUAUUAUUUUAUUUAUUCACUUUUAAAAUUCUAUCUUUAAGUAAUUCUUAAAAUUCUGAUUUCCGAAUUUAAUUUCCAAUCAUUAAAGUUCAAUUCUUCAAAAGUCUAACUUCCAAAUUUAAUUUUCAAUCUCAAAAAUUCCACUAUUCAUGUUCAUUCGUUUAAAUAUUAUUUUCGUUAUUAUUAUUAUUAUUAUUCCAUAUUUAUUUAUUUAGUUAUUUAAAAAAAAUUCAAUCAUUAAAAUUCAAUUCUUCAAAAAUCUGAUUUCCAAAUUUAACUUUCAAUCUCAAAAAUUCCACUAUUCACGUUUAUUUGUUUAAAUAUUAUUUUUGUUAUUAUUAUUAUUAUUAUUCCAUAUUUAUUUUAAAAAUUCCAACCAUUAAAGUUCAAUUCUUUAAAAAUCUAACUUCCAAAUUUAAUUUUUAAUCUAAAAAAUUCCACUAUUCACGUUCAUUCGUUUAAAUAUUAUUUUUGUUAUUAUUAUCAUUAUUUCAUUUAUUUAUUUGUUUAUUUCCUUUAAAAAUUCUAAUCAUUAAAGUUCAAUUUUUCAAAAUUCCGUUUUCCAAAUUUCAUUUUCAAUCUUAAAAAUUUUACUAUUCAUGUUCAUUCGUUUAAGUAUUAUUUUCGAUAUUAUUAUUAUUAUUCUAUUAAUUUACUUAUUUAUUUCUUUUUUAAAAAAAAUAUCCGUCUUUAAACAAUUCUUCAAAAAUCUUACUUACAAAUCUAAUUUCCAAUCUCAAAAAUUCCACUAUUCACAUUCAUUUGUUUAAUGAUUAUUUUCGUUAUUAUUAUUAUUCCAUUCAUUUACUUAUUCACUUAUUCAUAUAUUUAAAAUCUCAUCUCUAAAUAAUCAUUCGAAUUUCCAAUCUCUAAAUUCAAUUUUCAGUUUCUAAAAUUCUAACUUUCGCAAUUAUUUAUCCAAUCGUUAUUAUUUUCGUUAUUCUAUUCAUUUAUUUAUUCAUUUGUUCGUUUAUUUAAAAUUUCAUCUCUAAAUAAUUCUUUAAAUUUCCAAUCCCUAAGUUCAAUUUCCAAAUUUCAAAAUUCUAACUUUCACAAUUAUUUAUCCAAUCAUUAUUAUUUCGUCAUUAUUAUUAUUCCAUUCAUUGAUUUAUUCACUUAUUCAUCUAUUUAAAAUUUCGUCUUUAAAUAAGUUUUCAAAAUUCUGAUUUCCAAAUUUAGUACUCUAAAAUUCCAAUGUUCCCAUCACUGAACUUAAUUUUCAAUUUCCAAUAUUUCAAUUCUUGCAUUUAUUCAGCUACUCAUUUAUUAUUAUCAUUAUCAUUUUAUUCAUUCAUUUCUAAAAAUUCCGCCUUCGAAUGAUUUCCAAGAUUUCCAAUUUUUAUAAUUCAAUUUUUGUAGUUUCUACUUCUCAAAUAAUUUUCAAUUCUGAUUUCUUUUAAAAUUUAAUUUUUUUAAAAUCCCAAACUCUCAAAUAAUUUUCAAAAUUCCAAUUUCUUUCAAAUUUAAUUUCUAAAAUUCUCAUUCUUACAUUUAAUUUCUAAAAAUCCAAUUUUCAAAUAAUCUCUAAAACUUCAAUUUUCAAAUAAUCUCUAAGACUCCAAUUUUCAAAUAAAUUUCAAAAAUCCAAUUUUCCCUCGAACAGUUUUAAUUUCUGUUUAGUGAUGCAUCUGAUAUGUUUUGUGCUCUUUAUCGUACACUGACCCCAUUUUUAUGAUAGUGCAUUGCUCGUUCGUAGCCCAGGUACGCAUCCAUUCCCAUUCUGGUCAUUCUCUAUGCAUGUUUUGAUUUCCAUAUGUGCAUGAUCGAUUUGAGUAUUCAUUGAUUUUCCUAUUGAUUGUCAUGUUAGCUUCAUUUUAGUAGUAGAGGCCCGACUUUAGGAACUUAAAGGGGUGCUACAGUCUUUACCGUACCUUCUCGAUAAGUAACCUGACCCUCGAGUCCAAUCCGGUUUUUCACAGAUCACCUUUUCCAAAAUAAGGAGUCAUACUUAGGGUUUUCUUUCUUAUUUUGUUUACCCUUUUAAAAAUAAAACAAAAAUAAGUGGCGACUCCAAGUCAUUUUUUUUAAUAAAUAAAAUCAUUUUCAAAUAAAAAUCGAACUCGUCAUCAAGUGGAAAACACAUUAGCCGAAAUGCGAGGUCCAUAGUUUCCCAUCAUGUUUCUAUUUUGUUGGAAUUUGAAUAAGUACAUAAUAAUUUUGUUUUAUUUUAUGGAUGAUAACUUCAUUUAACAUGUUAGUAUUCAUCAUCUUUCAUUUUGCCAUCCAUUUUUAGAGACUUUAAAUGCUUUCUUUAGAUACCCAUUUUUCAAUUUCAGUGAAUAAAUUGGGUAUAAGAGAUUUGCUAACUUCACUCAACAACUUCUAUUUAAGAUUUAGAAACUUGUGAACCUCAUGUUUUCCCCUUUGAAAACAUUGAAAUUUUGAUAUGGAAAGUUAAAAUAUCACAUAAACAAUCAAUUUUAAUUAUUUAAAUUCACUUCUCAAAAUUAAAAUUAAAAAUCCCUCUUGUAUGAUCUAAAUUAUCUUAGAUUUCAACUUUUUAAUUCACUUAAAGUAUUGAAUAAGUUAAAAAAAAUAAAAUAUUAUUAAUUAUGAUUAUAUAUAUAUAUAUAUAUAUAUAUAUAUUUGUUUUUGUUUAACUAUUAAUAAUUAUAAAAAUAGAGAGAUAACUAAAAUGACAUGACAUAAGUGAUAUAAAAAUAGAUAACAACUACAAUGAUACAAGUGAGAUUAAAAUUGGGAAUUCACUCAAGUUGGAGAAUUAUUUAUUCUAAUAAAAAUACUAAGAAAAUACGUUAAUUAUUGUAGCAAAUUCUUUUUUUCUUCCACUCUAUUUGGGCAUCUAUUAUAUUGAAAAAAGAAAUAAAAGAAACCUCAUACAUAUUUAAAAUAAUUUAUUUGAGAAGAUUCUAUCAUUAAAAAUUCCACAAAAGUUCCAAAAAAAAAAAAAAGAUGCCAGAAAUAGUAUGUAUAGAGAAAAGAGUACAAAAGACAAAUAUAUAUAUAUAUAUAUAUAUAUAUAUAUAUAUAUAUAUUAAUUUAAAUUUAAAGAGAAAAGGUAAGAGUAAUAAGUCAGCAUUGAAAAAAAGAAAGUUUACUUUAAUAAAAUUAUAAUCUCAUAAAUUAAAAACUUCAAAAGUAUCCAAUCAAAUCCUUUAAAAUUCUUUCCUUCUAAAAAUUCCCUCUAUUCCAAAUCCAUUAUUUCCUUUUUCAUUUAAAUCCCUUCAUUCCAGAGUGUAAAAAGAAAUAAUAACAAUCUUCCUAAUAAGUUAUUAAUAUAUAAAAUAAAAAAUAAAAAAUAACACUUUUUUAAUAAUUUAGGAUAUAUUAAUUUUUUUUCUUCAAGAAAGAUGUAAUUUUUUCUUUUAUCUAAAUAUAUUACAUUUAGAAAUAAUUGCUCUUCUAAUAUCGAAAAUUAAGAAAUAUUAGAAGAUCGAGUAAUUUUUUAAUAAAUUAUAAAAAGAUCCAAUAAAAAAAAAAAUUAUUCCUUUAUUCAGGCAUAUUAAAAAAAGACAAUAUUCUAAAAAUAGGUAAUAGAAAAAAUAUCACAAUUAAAAGGUUUAUUUCUUUUAGUUAUAUUAAAAAAAGAAACAAGGUUAUUUCAAAGAUAGAAAAAAAAAAAUACAUUAGAAAUAUUAUCAGUUUUUUAGUUUUAUUUUCAUAUUCAUCUUGGGGUUUUGUGAAUAAUUAUUAAACUGUUAAUUAUUUAUUUGGUGGUAUUAUAAUCUGAGAUGGUGAGAUUAGGGGAGUAAAGCACAGGUCACUUCUGAUGAAAUAUAUCUUUUCUCUUCCAACUAAGGCCCAAAUAAAUAAUGGGCUUGGGGCAAAGCCCUAAUACUCAACUGAAUGGACUGGGCUUGGUUAUCUAAGAAUUUGUUGCUAGUGCCAUCAUCUUUAUUUGUGGGUAUCUAAGAAUUUCAUUUAACCAUGAAGAUAUUUCUUUACAACAAGGGAUUGGAAGAGUUUUUUAAAAGCAAGCCUCUGGUAGUUUUUUCUAAAAUUAUAUACCUUCCAACUAGUUUUGUAUUGUGCUAUUUUUAAUUCCACUUUCAAUAUAAUGCUUCUUAUCAAUUUUUUUUUUCAAAAAAAAAAAAAAAAUUAUGGUAGGAAUCGUUUAACAUUGAAUACAUAUUCAACAAAACUUCAAUUAGGUGAAUAUGAAAAAUUAUAAAUUGAAUGGGGCCUAGAUAUUGUCGAACCCUUGUGAAAAUACAAUAGGAAGGUAAUACUAUUGUAAUCCUCUCCUUUUUAUAGGUCGGAUCAUACUCAUACAAACAUAAAUUAAAUUUGGAUUGGACUUUCCAAAAUAUAAUUUUUCAUCAUUANNNNNNNNNNNNNNNNNNNNNNNNNNNNNNNNNNNNNNNNNNNNNNNNNNNNNNNNNNNNNNNNNNNNNNNNNNNNNNNNNNNNNNNNNNNNNNNNNNNNUAAUCAUUAAUAAAGUGGAAAGAAAUUUUAUUUUUUUAAAAUAUCAAGAUGAGAAAGAGAAAAUUAAAGUCAUGGAAUUACUUUUAGAGCUAAUCCAAUUGAUGGAAAUUUGAGAAAACCUCCUAACAGGCAAAGUAAUCAACCCUAAACAUAAAAAUAAAGCAUUAAGGGCAUGAGGACUUAAACUUCACUCAGGCUACUAUCUAGAUUUUUGUCCCUUGUGAUGUGAUCACCAAGACAAAUUGCUUCCAAGUCUUCUACUCUAAGUCAUCCACUGGCCCACAUCUUUUAUGGAUAAGGCUAGACUUUUACACUUACAAGUCAUGUGCAUACACUUCUAUAUAUAUAUAUAUAUAUAUAUUUCACUUUUCCUUCAAAUAAUCUUUAACAAAACUUUUAUCAUAUUUAUUUUUUCAAGUAUUCUAUCAUGCCCAUUUAUAGUAUACAGUUGAGACAAUGAUUGAAUCACUAUUUUUAAUUAUUUCCUACGAAAUGUUACCUGAAACCCAUCUAAAGUAUUGAAAUUUGUUGGGUGUGGAUCAAUAGUGGGUUGACAUGUGUUUGAUUUUUUAAAUUUUGUAUUUAUUUUUACUAUCUUUAUUGGAUUAGAUAGCUCUUAAGGAUUUUGAAACAUAAGAUGUUGAUUGAAUGAUAAGAAAGUAAUUUUUUUCUUCCACGACUCUGUAUCCCAUAUUUAAUAAAUAUUUGUGUGGUCUAGAUCUAACAAAAUAAUUGAAGUUCCGUGUUAUAAAAGGAAUAAAUAAAUAAAAAGACAAGGACUUGUUGAUAUUCUCGAGGUCUUGAUGUUUGAUUGAUGCAGACUGGAAAGAGAGAAAUAGAAGAACCUUCAAGAUUGUCGAUAAAUUAAAGCUCUUGGUGAAAAAUAUAAUUCUUUACUCGUUGCCACCAUCAAAUAUGCUUAUGAUGUGAUUGGUUUUUAUUUUGUAAAAAAUUACGAUACAUGGCAUUGAAUAAUACUAUGCACAAAAUAUUUUUCUAGCACAAAUACGUAUUUUUGUAUGCAUAAGAUACUAUUUAAGUAUAAUAUAAUUAUUAUUAUUAUUUAAAUAAUUUGCCUAAAUAUAAUAUAUCAUUUGUAGAUAAAGAAUUGAAAUAUCAAGAAAAAGUGAUCCUAAUUUAGGGUUAUAUAAAUUACUCUUUCAUUAAAUGUCUUGAUAAAGAUUGAAUAUUGUUAGGAUUAGGACACCCAACAAAUAUUGGUUCAUACAAGCCCCAAAUCAAUGCCAUUAGUUGGCCUUUGAAAGAUCCAAACAACACUUAUAAUUUUUUAAUUAUAUUUUUAUUUAUCUAUAGGUCAAAUACUUGCUACACAAGUGAUUUCAAAUAUAAUAUUAGUAUGGAAUGGUUUAUAUUAGAAAGUUUACAAUAAAUUUAUUUAAGAAAAUAUAUCUAAAGAAAAAUUAUAAAUAUACAUGAUAAAUGUUAAGAUUCCUACAUCGAUACAAGUACAAAACAAACAAUUCAACAACAAAACUUUCUCCCUUUGAAAGUGAAGAUUAUUUUUACUUGGAAACAACAUUUAUAUACAAUGAAGUUUUUCAACCUUAAGUUUUUGUCUCUCAAUCUAAUCCACUAGACACGUUUGUGCUUUAAAAGUUAGAACUACUUUAUAGGGAAGACCAAGACUUCUAGCUAUUGAUAUAGAGUUUUCUUUAAAAGAUAAUACUAAGACUACAUAAUUCUUACUUGUAGAUUUGUACACAAAUCAAUCACAUGAAAAGGUAGAAUCCACAUUGUUAACCAAACUUUCAUAAACUUUAUAUGAAAAUAAUUAUUUUGAAAAUAAUUUUGGAUACAUAAAACAAAAUAAUUUAUAAGUGCUAAAAUAAUAAUUAUAUUCUUGCAUUAAUCCAUGAAGUGAGAUUGAGUCACCUUGUAAAUUGUAUUGUAAAGGUCUUCAACUCACUACUGUCAUAUAGUGGAUGGGUCAUUUGUGUGGUGUAUGUUGUUAAAAAUAAACAAUAAGAAAAAAAAAGAUAUAAGAAUGAGAGUGUGGCUUGAGACCUCAAUUUAUAAUAAGUUGUACAUCUCUUAGUCUUCCCAUUAAAGACUAUGUGGGAGUUAUACUCAUUAUUUACACUUAUUAUGUAUAAAUUAAUGGGUAAUGGUGGGUUAUGAACUUGAAUACAUCUAUAUAAUUGCAUAGGUUAUACAUUUUCAUUUUCCUCCAUUACUCAUAAACAUAAUGUACAAAUAAAUUUCAUAAUGAUGGGGUUACAAAAGUUGUAACACCACAUUCAUAUGAGUUAAAUUUUAUAACUUUCCAUUUGUAAUUUGAGUCUUCCAUACAUAAGACUUUUGGAUGCCCAAUCAAUUGAUUCACCUACCUAUCAAUUGAUACCCUUAAAUAAUAUUCAUAUAAAUAUAAUUAUAUAUGACCACACAUUAUAGGAAAAAAGCUAACACACACAACUUUGUGGAUGGAAAUCAAGAUUUUCGGCUCCUUUCUUUUUCUUUCUUUUUAGUGUCUAAGGUUUAAGUUUGUGUUUUAGAUACAUAACUUAAAACACAAAAUAAAUGACCAACCAAACUAUGAUUAUCUAGAUAGUAUUUUAAAAAAUAUAUAAAUUUAUAAUUUAAUCAAUUUGAUCUCAAUUAUGUAUAGGCACUUUGAAUCACAUUCAUCUUUGUCAUCCAGAUAAAAAAAAAAAAAAAAUUCAAAUCCAUAAUUAUGCAUCCUAAUCUCUUUUUAAACAUGAGGGAUUUAUAACCCCCACUACUUGAUGGACCCUUUCCUAAAGGUGAUUCAAUGCCACUUUGUUUGAUCUUCACAAUCUUUAUCACAUUCUUUGAUCUUUUGCAUUCUUUGAAUAAUUCAAUAUUAUUGAGGGGUCAUUCUCAUUAAAUGAGAAUAUUGAAAAAUCUAACCCUUUUGGAAGGGUAUGAAGAAGGUUUCAUAUCAGGGGACCCAUGUCUUACUUUUCCACCCAAAGCAUCGUAAUGCAUUCUAACUUUUUUUUGGCAGGAAAAGUAUUUGUAAUGUCAAUCUCUAACCGUGGCCAUAAAAGGGUGAGAUUUAGAGCCACACAAGUCAUAUCAUAUUCUGCAGAUUGUAGCCUCACAAGUCAAGUCCACAGGAUAUAUAUCAUCUAUAUAUUCUGCAGAUUCUGUCAUAUUUUUUUCUUUCGUGGACAGCCCAGUCACCAAUGAGUAUCACACUUUCAUAUCAUAUUUCUUUUUAAGAAUCCAAACAUUUUAAAACGGGUUAUGGGUGAUCCAGCAAAAAUUUACUAUGGUGGCAUUUUUUUUUUUUUUUUUUAAUUUGAAGUUUGAAAUCUAAAUAGAAAAUGAUGGAAAACUGUUAUUUAGACUUGAAAUUUCAUUAAAAAAAAUUAUUUGAACAAAAUAUCUAAAAAAAAAUUAACUUAAAAAGGAAAUGGUUUUGUCAUUAACUUUAAUAAUAUUUAAUUUUAUAUAACUAAUGGUAAUUGGAUCAUGGAUCCCACCAAUCAAAUAAUUUUUUGGAUUCAUUCAUUGUGCUAUUUGAUUAUAAAAAUCAAAUAUUUAAUUUUUUUUAUAUAUAUACUUUUUAUUGUAAUUUUGUAUUACUUUUACAAGGUUGAGUUUUUUUUUUUAGAAACUUUUCAAAAAAUACAAGAGAAAAAAAUAAAAAGAAAAAUAAAAUAUAAAAAAAGUAUAUAAAAGUAAAAAAAAAAAAGAUUUAAAACUAAUAAAUUAUUUUUAAUUGAUUUCUCAAACUCAUUUUAUGUAUUUUCUUUAUUUAUAUAAAAUUAAAUAAUUUAAAAAUAUACAAUUAUUUUAAUUAUUUUGAUUUGAUUUUUCUAUUAUAAAUCAAAUACAUAAAAUAAUUUUUCUUAGUUUCUAUAUAUCUUCCAUGUGUUUGUUCUUUUUUAGAAAUAUCCCAUAAAAUAUGGACCUUUUCUAAUCAACCAAACACCCAGGAGGAACAAAAAGGAAAAGAAUGAGAGAGAGAGAACUUAGAGAAAAAUAAAAUGAAAAAACCGCUAAAGAUAGUAUACAUUUUAUAUAAAGUUGGAAUAUAAAUCAAUGGAGCCACACCCCUUCAACAACCCUAAUCAUGUUGUAUCCAUAAUAAUAAUUCACAUUUUUUUAUUUUUUUUUCAUAUCAGUACACAUUUGACCUGAUCAUGAGCAAUAAUAAAUGUCCACAUUUUAAUAGAUUUGAAAUCUUCACCCAUUAAUUUAAGUUCUUCAUCUAAUGAAUAAUAAAUGUCCAUAUUUUUCUACGAGGCCACAUAGGACUUUGAAUAGUUUAAAGUGAACAUGUUACCUCAUUAAUUUGGAGACUUUACAUACUCUAUAAUACUAUAAAAUGUUGGAUAGAUCACUAACCUCAUUUAAAUAAUAAAAUCUUCUAAUUCUUUUUUUUUUUUUUGUUCUGAUUUUUACAUGAUUGUGCUUUAUUUUAUAAAUUAAUUAAUAAUUAUAUUUAUUUAUCUUGGCUUCCCGUACAUAUUUUACGAAAAUAUUAUCCAUGUAUGUAAUACACAAGAUGAAUGCACCCUUACAACUAAAUUCAUCUUUUAAAUUUGAAAAAAAAAAAACUAAAAAUUAAUAUUUUUUUAAUUAACAUUUAAGUAAUAAAAAUAACAUAACCAAUUUAAUUUUUGGUUUUUCAUUUUUAAAAUAUUACUCUUAUAUUUCAUAACUUUUCAUCCUUAAUGUGCUACAAAUCUUUUUACCACUAUAAGGGUUAUGACAUGAAAAUUAUGUGUAUGGAAUAAAUAAGAAAAAGAAAAUUAAAUUGUCUUAUUAUUUUGCAAUGUAGUUUCGAUUCCCAAACUUUCCUCAAAUCUCUUUGGUUAUAUUUGAUUAUUGGAAAAUGACAAUAAAAAAUAUAAAAAAAAAUAUUAUUCUCUAAUGUUUGGUUUUCAUAUUGAAGAUAUCGGAUAUAAUUAAAAUUAGUUAAAAUUUUUGGUAUUUUUAAAUUAUUUAUUUUUUAUGUUGAAAAGUUAAAAUAAAUAAAAUGAGUUUAAAGAACCUACAAAAUAAUUUAUUAAAUUAAAAACUAUCUUUAAUUUUUAUUCAUUUUUUUCUUCACAUUUUCUAUUAAACUUACGGAGAACCAAACACAUCCUUAGUAUUUUCCUUCUUUUUUUGUUAAUGUUGUUUUCCCUUGUCUUUUUCCAUAGUAUUUAAAAAUAAUAAAUUUGUUCCCCUUUCUUUUACAUGUAAAAAUAUUUACAUAAUCACAUAGAUUAAUCAUACAUGAUUAAAGGAUACUAACAAUAGGAAAUCACUAUAAAGAACAUACCUGUUUGAGCCAUGAUAAAAAAAACGUGAUUGAUUGUUGUAACCAAGUCUUCCUCUCUAUGAUCUUGAUAAUAGCUAUGGUGGCUCUAUGGGAAAACAAAUAAACCCUUUUUAUCUAGAUUAGAGAGGGGACUUAGCAUAACUCAAAUUGGAUUCUCAUUGGGCCCUCCCAUAAUGGGCUUCAAUGAGACCCAUAGCCUACACUUGCCACUCAACUGAGCUUCUACUCAAAAGAUGCAAAACCCAAUCCAAAAUGUGAUCACUAGUUAAUUGGGCACAUUAUAGAAUAUACUAUCCAUUAACCCGUUUUUGCAAAUACAAAUUAUUCAAUUAAUGUUAGCCCAUAUAAAAAAUUUCCAACAUUCUCCCACUUGGGCUACAUUAAUUGUUUUUGAGGAUUCAUUAAAUUCAUUUUGAAAAUAAGACUCUCGGGUUAAGUACAAAAAAGUUUAUUUUGUGUGGCCACACCUUUUUUUUUUUUGAAAGAAAUGAUAGUCUAUAAGUAGCAUCUUGUUAAACUUUUCUGGUCCAACAUAGUCUUAAUAUUAGACUAUAAUGGUCUAUAUGUUAAUCUCAACAAACAUAAUGCCCCUUAUAGUCACGAAUAUUUAUAACCAUAUCGACAUGGAUCGUAAACUCAGUAGUGUAGUAAGAAAUCAAUGCCAACAUGUGAUCAUCAUCUAUAUGCAUUGUUUCUUAUCAGUCCUCAUUACAAUUUACCAACAAAAUGAAAUUGUAAUUACAAUUUCUCAACAAAAUGAAAUUGUUGCAAUUUCUAAACAAUAUGAAAUUGCUUGACUUUAACAAGUCAUAUGUCACCAACAAUGCACCACAAAAUCUCAAAAUAGUGGUAUUUGUGACAUCCAAUAGUAUACAACUGUAAUUCUUAAGGUUCAAUAUCUCAAGAUACCAUGUUGUACGUAAUUCAAUUACGACAUGCUAUAAUAUAAUACUUAAUUAUGAUGAUCAUAAUAAAAAGAUUUUAAUUUUGCAAGUUGCAGAACAAUAAUGAUCAAUGUUUGCAUAAAACAAUAAUUGAAAUAAGGGAAAUCACAAAAGCUCCCACUAAACCAAAGAAUCAAAAGACUUAAUGACACCCAUAUUCACAACAUGUUCCUUGAACGUUAUGGGCUUUAAACCUUUGAUUAGAGGAUCAGCUAGCAUGGACUCAGUUCUUAUGUGCUCAAUCACAAUAUCUCCUUUCUUCACUAAGUCCUUGACUGUAAGGUACUUGAUUUCCAUAUGCUUAGAACCCGUACUAAUCUUAUUGUUCUUAGAGUAGAACACAACUGCAUUAUUGUCACAAUAAAUCACAAUAUCCAUCAUUCCUAAAACAAACUCUAUGUCUAAUCUCCAUCUCUUAUAGUUCGACCCACUUAGAAUUUCAAUUGUAGCAUUAUUGUUGUUCACAGCAAAGGAAACUGAUUGACAAAAUUUUGCAACUAGAUCAAUUAUGGGCAAUAGGUAAAAAAAACUUAAAUAAUCAUAAGCAAUACAAUACAAGAAUCAAUUGUACUAUCAUAAACUCCCCUUUGGGCAGAGUCCACAAUAAACAACUAUUCUCUAAGCAUGAAGAUCAACAAAUAAUUCAUUAAAAUUUAUUUCCUUUGGGCAAAUAAAUUUAUCAAAUUAUUUAUCUCAUUAAAUAUCCUCAUGUUGUUAAAUUAAUUUGCACAAUAACCCCCUUUGGGCAGGCGAUUGUACAAAUUAAUCUAAAAUUUUCCCCAUCAACAAAAUAGGAACUCAUAAACUUGCAAAUUUUGAUGGUUAAAUCACUUUGGUAAAAUAACCUCAACAAUUCACAGGCAACGUUCCAAAAUUGGGUAAAUUAAAAAAAAUUGCCCAACAACAAUAGUGCAUAUUUGCGAUAUAUAUGCAUAUGAUCAAUUAUAGUUGCAAGAAUUUGAACAACAAUUUUUAUUUAUUUAUUACACUUUAAAUUAAUUAUUAACUAGUUUAUGUGAUUUAGAACAAGUAGGAGAGUAUGCAUGAAAAAGUUUCAAUCUAGAGAGAGUGAGUACUACACUCCUAUUCCAUAUAUAUUAGCAUAAUUUCUGGUAAAUUCUCAACAGAAAAUUAUACCAAAAAAUAAUUUUAAGCUAAUUAAAUCACAUAAAUAAGUAAUAAUUAUUUAAUAAAUAUUUUUGACCCCCCAAAAAUAAAAUAAUAUAUCUAGAAAAAUAUAUUACAAAAAAACGAGCGCACAGGAAAAAACGGAGCUCAAAAUGGACACUGGAUGAGGUUAUACGCACCUCACACACUUGACCUGCGAGUGGGGAACGUGUGGCACAUGUGGCAUGUGUGGCAUGUGCUGGAGGUCAUCUUCAACCUCCAGCAUUGGGUCCAAAAUUCUGCAAUACGGGUCAAAUGAGCCGGUUGCAACCUGGAUUGCAAACAAUUGAAAAAAAUGUUUCUUUUGAUCGGGAUCUUGAGGGCUUUUAAACUUUAGGUUGUUUCUAACAAUUUUAGGACAUUUAAUCAUAAAAAAAAAACAACUUAAAGAUCUCCAUAAUUGAUUAACAAAAUUCGGUUUUUCUUACCUCCAUAGCUAAGAUUCAAAAACUCUAUUUUAACACCUAUUUCGGUCUCAUUUUACAUGUAUUUUUACAUUAACAAUAUAAGAAGUCUCUUUACAACAAUUAAUUAAACAAAAAAAAAAAAAAUUCUCAAUCUUGCUCAAUUUUUUUUUUUUUUUUAAAAAAAACGAAUUUUCUAGGGUUCAUACCCAUAUUUUCAAAUUUUCAAUUUUCACCAAAUUGAGCCAAAAAACCGAAAUUAAUGCUACAUAUCAACUAUAAUAUAUGUAAACAACAAAAUCUAAGAGUUUAAUUUGAGUAUAACACAAUAAUUUGAUCAAAUAAAAUUUUUCUUGAAUCUUUAAACAAGAAAAUUCCGAAAAUUUAAAAAUUUAGUUACUCCCAAUUUAAACAACGAAAUUGCACAUAUGAUAUAUCAAUUUGAAGUUUGUGACAAGAGGAACAAAAACCCUAAAGUUUCACAAUCAAAAGAAACUAAAAAAAAAACAUGCACAUUCAUGGAUCACAUAUUUGGCUUCGAAAAGAAAAUAAAAUAAGAAACUAAAAAUUUUAUUUUCGAUUUCCAAAUGUAGAUCCUAAAUCAUGUAAAUCAGACUCUGAUACCACAUGUAAAAUAUUUACAUAAUCACAUAGAUUAAUCAUACAUGAUUAAAGGAUACUAACAAUAGGAAAUCACUAUAAAGAACAUACCUGUUUGAGCAAUGAUAAAAAAAUGUGAUUGAUUGUUGUAGCCAAGUCUUCCUCUCUAUGAUCUUGAUAACAGCUAUGGUGGCUCUAUGGAAAAACAGAUAAACCCUUUUAUCUAGAUUAGAGAGGGGACUUAGCAUAACUCAAAUUGGAUUCUCAUUGGGUCCUCCCAUAAUGGGCUUCAAUGAGACCCAUAGCCUACACUUGCCACUCAACUGAGCUUCUACUCAAAAGAUGCAAAACCCAAUCCAAAAUGUGAUCACUAGUUAAUUGGGCUCAUUAUAGAAUAGACUAUCCAUUAACCCGUUUUUGCAAAUACAAAUUAUUCAAUUAAUGUUAGCCCAUAUAAAAAUUUUCCAACAUUACCAUGUAAAAUAUUUACAUAAUCACAUAGAUUAAUCAUACAUGAUUAAAGGAUACUAACAAUAGGAAAUCACUAUAAAGAAAAUACCUAUUUGAGUCAUGAUAAAAAAAACGUGAUUGAUUGUUGUAGCCAAGUCUUCCUCUCUAUGAUCUUGAUAAUAGCUAUGGUGGCUCAAUGGGAAAACAGAUAAACCCUUUUUAUCUAGAUUAGAGAGGGGACUUAGCAUAACUCAAAUUGGAUUCUCAUUGGGCCCUCCCAUAAUGGGCUUCAAUGAGACCCAUAGCCUACACUUGCCAUUCAACUGAGCUUCUACUCAAAAGAUGCAAAACCCAAUCUAAAAUGUGAUCACUAAUUAAUUGGGCUCAUUAUAGAAUAGACUAUCCAUUAACCCGUUUUUGCAAAUACAAAUUAUUCAAUUAAUGUUAGCCCAUAUAAAAAUUUUCCAACAUUCUCCCACUUGGGCUACAUUAAUUGUUUUUGAGGAUUCAUUAAAUUCAUUUUGAAAAUAAGACUCUCGGGUUAAAUAUAGAAAAGUUUAUUUUGUGUGGCCACACCUUUUUGUUUUUUUUGAAAGAAAUGAUAGUCUAUAAAUAGCAUCUUGUUAAACUUAUCCGGUCCAACAUGUUCUUAAUAUUGGACUAUAAUGGUCUAUAUGUUAAUCUCAACAAACAUAAUGCCCCUUAUAGUCACGAAUAUUUAUAACCAUAUCGACAUGGAUCGCAAACCCAGUAGUGUAGUAAGAAAUCAAUGCCAACAUGUGAUCAUCAUCUAUAUGCAUUGUUUCUUAUCAGUCCUCAUUACAAUUUACCAGCAAAAUGAAAUUGUAAUUGCAAUUUCUCAACAAAAUGAAAUUGCUGCAAUUUCUAAACAAUAUGAAAUUGCUUGACUUUAACAAGUCAUAUGUCACCAACAAUGCACCACAAAAUCUCAAAAUAGUGGUAUUUGUGACAUCCAAUAGUAUACAACUGUAAUUCUUAAGGUUCAAUAUCUCAAGAUACCAUAUUGUAUGUAAUUCAAUUACGACAUACUAUAAUAUAAUACAUAAUUAUGAUGAUCAUAAUAAAAAGAUUUUAAUUUUGCAAGUUGCAGAACAAUAAUGAUCAAUGUUUGCAUAAAACAAUAAUUGAAAUAAGGGAAAUCACAAAAGCUCCCACUAAACCAAAGAAUCAAAAGACUUAAUGACACCCAUAUUCACAACAUGUUCCUUGAACGUUAUGGGCUUUAAACCUUUGGUUAGAGGAUCAGCUAGCAUGGACUCAGUUCUUAUGUGCUCAAUCACAAUAUCUCCUUUCUUCACUAAGUCCUUGACUGUAAGGUACUUGAUUUCCAUAUGCUUAGAACCCGUACUAAUCUUAUUGUUCUUAGAGUAGAACACAACUGCAUUAUUGUCACAAUAAAUCACAAUAUCCAUCAUUCCUAAAACAAACUCUAUGUCUGAUCUCCAUCUCUUAUAGUUCGACCCACUUAGAAUUUCAAUUGUAGCAUUAUUGUUCACAACAAAGGAAACUGAUUGACAAAAUUUUUCAACUAGAUCAAUUAUGGGCAAUAGGUAAAAAAAACUUAAAUAAGCAUAAGCAAUACAAUACAAGAAUCAAUUGUACUAUCAUAAACUCCCCUUUGGGCAAAGUCCACAAUAAACAACUAUUCUUUAAGCAUGAAGAUCAACAAAUAAUUCAUUAAAAUUUAUUUCCUUUGGGCAAAUAAAUUUAUCAAAUUAUUUAUCUCAUUCAAUAUCCUCAUGUUGUUAAAUUAAUUUGCACAAUAACCCCCUUUGGGCAGGCGAUUGUACAAAUUAAUCUAAAAUUUUCCCCAUCAACAAAAUAGAAACUCAUAAACUUGCAAAUUUUGAUGGUUAAAUCACUUUGGUAAAAUAACCUCAACAAUUCACAUGCAACGUUCCAAAAUUGGGUAAAUUAAAAAAAAAAAUUGCCCAACAACAAUAGUGCAUAUUAGCGAUAUAUAUGCAUAUGAUCAAUUAUAGUUGCAAGAAUUUGAACAACAAUUAUUUAUUUAUUUAUUACACUUUAAAUUAAUUAUUUAACUAGUUUAUGUGAUUUAGACCAAGUAGGAGAGUAUGCAUGAAAAAGUUUCAAUCUAGAGAGAGUGAGUACUACACUCCUAUUCCAUAUAUAUUAACAUAAUUUCUGGUAAAUUCUCAAUAGAAAAUUAUACCAAAAAAAUAAUUUUAAGCUAAUCAAAUGACAUAAAUAAGUAAUAAUUAUUUAAUAAAUAUUUUAGACCCCCCAAAAAUAAAAUAAUAUAUCUAGAAAAAUAGAUUACAAAAAAACGAGCGCACAAGAAAAAACGGAGCUCAAAACGAACACCAGAUGAGGUUAUACGCACCUUACACACUUGACUCGCGAGUGGGGAACGUGUGACACAUGUGGCACGUGUGGCAUGUGUUGGAGGUCAUCUUCAACCUCCAGCAUUGGGUCCAAAAUUCUGAAAUACGGGUCAAAUGACCCGGUUGCAACUCGGAUUACAAACAAUUGAAAAAAAUGUUUUUUUUUUAUCGGGAUCUUGAGGGCUUUUAAACUUUAGGUUGUUUCUAACAAUUCUAGGACAUUUAAUCAUAAAAAAAAACAACUUAAAGAUCUCCAUAAUUGAUUAACAAAAUUUGGUUUUUCAUAUCUCCAUAGCCAAGAUUGAAAAACUCUAUUUUAACACCUAUUUCAGCCUCAUUUUACAUGUAUUUUUACAUUAACAAUAUAAGAAGUCUCUUUACAACAAUUAAUUAAAAAAAAAAAAAAUUCUCAAUCUUGCUCAAUUUUUUUUUUUAAAAAAUAAAAUAAAAUGAAUUUUCUAGGGUUCAUACCCAUAUUUUCAAAUUUUCAAUUUUCACCAAAUUGAGUCAAAAAACCGAAAUUGAUGCUACAUAUCAACUAUAAUAUAUGUAAACAACAAAAUCUAAGAGUUUAAUUUGAGUAAAACACAAUAAUUUGAUCAAAUAAAAUUUUUCUUGAAUCUUUAAACAAGAAAAUUCCGAAAAUUUAAAAAUUUAAUUACUCCCAAUUUAAACAACGAAAUUGCACAUAUGAUAUAUCAAUCUGAAGCUUGUGACAAGAGGAACAAAAACCCUAAAGUUUCACAAUCAAAAGAAACUAAAAAAAAUAGGCACAUUCAUGGAUCACAGAUUUGGCUUUGAAAAGAAAAUAAAACGAGAAACUAAAAAUUUUAUUUUUGAUUUCCAAAUGUAGAUCCUAAAUCAUGUAAAUCAGACUUUGAUACCACAUGUAAAAAUAUUUACAUAAUCACAUAGAUUACUCAUACAUGAUUAAAGAAUACUAACAAUAGGAAAUCACUAUAAAGAACAUACCUGUUUGAGCAAUGAUAAAAAAACGUGAUUGAUUGUUGUAGCCAAGUCUUCCUCUCUAUGAUCUUGAUAAUAGCUAUGGUGGCUCAAUGGGAAAACAGAUAAACCCUUUUUAUCUAGAUUAGAGAGGGGACUUAGCAUAACUCAAAUUGGAUUCUCAUUGGGCCCUCCCAUAAUGGGCUUCAAUGAGACUCAUAGCCUACACUGGCCACUCAACUGAGCUUCUACUCAAAAGAUGCAAAACCCAAUCUAAAAUGUGAUCACUAAUUAAUUGGGCUCAUUAUAGAAUAGACUAUCCAUUAACCCGUUUUUGCAAAUACAAAUUAUUCAAUUAAUGUUAGCCCAUAUAAAAAUUUAUGUUUGGUUUUUGGAAAAUUUGAGGGAAAAAAAAUAAAGAGAAAAAAUAAAAUAAAAGAAAAAAUAAAUAAAAAUAAAUAAAUUUAAAAUUAAUAAAUUAUUUUUAUAUGUUUCUUCAAAUUUAUUUCACUUAAUUUCUUUCAAAAUAAUUUUAAAAUGCAUAAGUUUUUAAUUAUAUAUAUAUAUAUUUUUUAAAUUUAUAGUGAAACCAAAGAGAAAACCUUUAUUUAUUUAUUUUCCCUAAGAACCAAACCUAACCUUUGCAUUUUUCCAAAUUUCGGAUCCAAAAGUAACUGAAUGUUACGAAAAAAAAAAAGGAGAAUUGUGUUUUGGGCCCAGAUGGGCCCAAAAAUUAAUAUUUGGUCCAUAUAACUUCCAUAAUUGAUGGAAAUGAUAUAAAAUGUUAAAAGACCAAUAUAUUUUUCAAAUUUCUAUAUAUUAUCUUUUAAGGAUAUAAAAUAGUGAUGGACUAAAAUACCCAAUGACUUUUCACAUAAGCUUUUUUUGUCUUUAUUGUGUCACUAUUCAUGCAACCAUAAUAAUUCUAUUUUAACAAUUUGGAUUUUUCAUUGUUUUUAAUUUUUUUUAUAAAUAAUUGAAAAUCAGCAUUAUUUUCUAUUUUAAAUUAUAAAUAAAGAAAAAUUAUGUUUAAAAACUAUUUUAAAAAAUACUUUCUAAAAAAAUGGUAAUACGAUUUAUAUUUUUUAUAUUUUCUUUUUGAAAAAACAUUUAAUUAAAAAAUGAAAACUAUUUUUAAAAAUAAAAAUUGAAAACCUUGUUUAACACUAUUUUUUAUAUGAAAAUAAUAAAAAGAAUUAAAUUUCAUUAAUUGAUUAUCCAAUUUUUUUUCCAUUAGUUAUUUUAAUAAUAAUAAAAAAUAUAGUAUGUUUACAAUUAAACAAAGAAAUUGAUCAAUUAUGGGUUUUUUGUGGAACUAUCUUUUACAUGAAAAAUAAUUAAAUAAUUAAAUUAUAUAUAUUUAUUACUCUUUUUAACUUUAUUUUCUUUAUUUAUUUUUUGUCUAAUAGAAAAUUUUAAUAUAUCCAUAAUUAACAAAGUAAUAAAUCAAUUUUGCACAUUUUAAUCUAUUAAAAUAAAUUACUUUCUAAUUUAAAUAAAUAAAAUGAAAUAAGUAAAUAAAUUUGAGGUUAUUUCUAUUUUUUAACAUAUCUUAUAUCAAUAUUUUUUAUGGUUAAAUAAAUUUUUUAUUUUUUAUUUCUUUAAUUCCAAAAAUAAAAUGAAAUAAAUAAAUAAAUUUGGUAUUUUCCAACUGAUCUUAUAUUCAUAUUUCUUAUGGUUAAAUAAAAUUUUUUAUUCUUUUUUCUUUAUUUCCAAAAAUAAAAGGAAAUAAAUAAAUAAACUUGGCUUAAAUAAUAGUUUUUAAGUAAUUUCUUUGUCUUAUUUUUAAUUACAUUUUGCAUUGAAAGUAAAAUAAAAUAACGUUUUAUUUGAGUCACUGUACAAGAUAUUUAUAUUAAGUGUACAUGACAAAUAUACUAACUGUACAAGGAUGUACAAGACUAUUAUUUGUGAAGGAUUUUAAGUGAUACUGAAAAAGUUGUUUGUUUAUUU
RNAcentral lists this long non-coding RNA (32936 nucleotides) under Vitis vinifera (wine grape). Its description in RNAcentral is "long non-coding RNA (VVIN_LNC006731)". Lineage: Eukaryota; Viridiplantae; Streptophyta; Magnoliopsida; Vitales; Vitaceae. The record is from RNAcentral.